UGGGGAAUAUUGGACAAUGGGCGAAAGCCUGAUCCAGCCAUGCCGCGUGUGUGAAGAAGGCCUUUUGGUUGUAAAGCACUUUAAGUGGGGAGGAAAAGCCUAUGGUUAAUACCCAUAAGCCCUGACGUUACCCACAGAAUAAGCACCGGCUAACUCUGUGCCAGCAGCCGCGGUAAUACAGAGGGUGCAAGCGUUAAUCGGAAUUACUGGGCGUAAAGCGCGCGUAGGUGGUUAUUUAAGUCAGAUGUGAAAGCCCCGGGCUUAACCUGGGAACUGCAUCUGAUACUGGAUAACUAGAGUAGGUGAGAGGGGAGUAGAAUUCCAGGUGUAGCGGUGAAAUGCGUAGAGAUCUGGAGGAAUACCGAUGGCGAAGGCAGCUCCCUGGCAUCAUACUGACACUGAGGUGCGAAAGCGUGGGUAGCAAACAGGAUUAGAUACCCUGGUAGUCCACGCCGUAAACGAUGUCUACCAGUCGUUGGGUCUUUUAAAGACUUAGUGACGCAGUUAACGCAAUAAGUAGACCGCCUGGGGAGUACGGCCGCAAGGUUA
This 549-nucleotide ribosomal RNA is filed under the name uncultured bacterium. RNAcentral describes it as "bacterial SSU rRNA". It matches the Rfam family "Bacterial small subunit ribosomal RNA", at positions 355 to 896 of the family's 1533-position model. The record is from RNAcentral.